This 434-nucleotide ribosomal RNA is filed under the name uncultured Lachnospiraceae bacterium. Its description in RNAcentral is "bacterial SSU rRNA". It matches the Rfam family "Bacterial small subunit ribosomal RNA", at positions 341 to 792 of the family's 1533-position model. Lineage: Bacteria; Bacillati; Bacillota; Clostridia; Lachnospirales; Lachnospiraceae. The record is from RNAcentral.
ACGGAAGGCAGCAGUGGGGAAUAUUGCACAAUGGGGGAAACCCUGAUGCAGCGACGCCGCGUGAGUGAAGAAGUAUUUCGGUAUGUAAAGCUCUAUCAGCAGGGAAGAAAAUGACGGUACCUGACUAAGAAGCCCCGGCUAACUACGUGCCAGCAGCCGCGGUAAUACGUAGGGGGCAAGCGUUAUCCGGAUUUACUGGGUGUAAAGGGUGCGUAGGUGGCCAAGUAAGUCAGAUGUGAAAACCCGGGGCUUAACUCCGGGAUUGCAUUUGAAACUGCAUGGCUAGAGUGCAGGAGAGGUAAGUGGAAUUCCUAGUGUAGCGGUGAAAUGCGUAGAUAUUAGGAGGAACACCAGUGGCGAAGGCGGCUUACUGGACUGUAACUGACACUGAGGCACGAAAGCGUGGGGAGCAAACAGGAUUAGAUACCCUGGUA